UCAGAUUGAACGCUGGCGGCAGGCCUAACACAUGCAAGUCGAACGGUAACAGGAUUAGCUUGCUAAUCGCUGACGAGUGGCGGACGGGUGAGUAAUGCUUGGGAACUUGCCUUUGCGAGGGGGAUAACAGUUGGAAACGACUGCUAAUACCGCAUAAUGUCUACGGACCAAACGGGGCUUCGGCUCCGGCGCAAAGAGAGGCCCAAGUGAGAUUAGCUAGUUGGUAAGGUAAAGG
This 235-nucleotide ribosomal RNA is filed under the name uncultured gamma proteobacterium CHAB-V-8. RNAcentral's name for it is "partial 16S ribosomal RNA". It matches the Rfam family "Bacterial small subunit ribosomal RNA", at positions 24 to 263 of the family's 1533-position model. Lineage: Bacteria; Pseudomonadati; Pseudomonadota; Gammaproteobacteria. The record is from RNAcentral.